CAAAGCUGCUUGCGUUGAGAGUGAAAUCUAAAACAUAAUCUCUGGAUCAACUUGUUCCUUCAUUCUUCUGCACAAACCAGCAGGGCUCAACCUAGGAGCUGUAACACCAAUGGUGGCUCAAAGACUGAAGAGGAGCAAUAUUCAUCCAUAAAUUUUCCUUCUUACAUGUGAGGUGCUCCAAAGGAGGUAUACAGAAAGGACGGCUCUUCCGUUAACAGCUACAGCGCUCUGGGUCCCUGUGAGCCUCCCCAGUAGCCACAGCACUCCUGGCAGGCCCGUCCCCGCCACUGCUGCUUCCUCCCAGGAGCACACAUCCUGCCUGUUCCUGCUCCCACUCCUACCCUCAGGCCGUGGCAUGGAGGAAACGCUGGACACGGCAGUGGAGACUGGGAAUGGAGCCCUUGCAGGGCAUAUGUGGUGCCUUCUUACACUUGGAAAAAUAUGUUGCACGUGCUUAGAGGUGCUUCUACACACAACUGCCUAACCAGAUGUCAAACCAAUGAGUAAUAAGAAGAGUCAGCGGUUACUAUGAGAUAUUAAUUGUAUGCUUCAGUAAUUAGCUUCUGCUGAAAACCGGUUUUCCACAGGCCACAAUUUUAGGAUGGAAGUAGAGAGCAACAUAAAUGACAAGCAUAUAAACAUGCUGUGGUUAACCGUGUCAGUCGGUAGAUGGCUGUAUUGCUUCUAGCUGUCUUCAGGGAAUACGUUUCCAUUUCUAUGGCCAAGAAAGGGAAAGCUUUUUCCCAGAGAUACAAGGAGCCACUGAGAGUACAUGGAGACCUUUGCAUUUUGAUGUUUUAAAAUGGCUCCAUUUUAAAUACAAUAUUAUUCCUCCGUUUUUGUCUAUUUGUUAAUUGCACAGAAUUUUUUAACACUCUGGUUUAGCAGUCUAUCUGUUGGGUUUUUUUGCCUUACCUGAAGUAAAGUAAUCUACUUAAACUCACCUUAAACUCACACCCCGGGUUGUGAAAUCACAAAGACUCCAUUAUGGAGGAACUGGAUAUUUCAGCUGUUAAGAAAUGGGCUGCGAGGUUUUUAUGCUGUGUGUCGUGGGCUCAGAUCUGGUCCAUAUUCAUAGUUACUAUUCUGGGUUCUUCUAAUUGUUACCUGCUGGUUAUGCAAUAAUACCUUUCAG
Molecule: long non-coding RNA, 1135 nt
Filed under: Struthio camelus australis
Lineage: Eukaryota; Metazoa; Chordata; Aves; Struthioniformes; Struthionidae
Description: lncRNA (ENSSCUG00000015317.1)
Source: RNAcentral